GGCUCUCGUGUGUGCUGCUCCGAAAAGACACAGACCCUCAACCAAAAAAAGCGGUGGCGUCGUCUCACUGGGUGUGUUUGGUUUGUUCGCCUUCAGGAAACCUCUCAGUCAUUUACAGGAGUGUGUAAAACAUAAACGAGCUUAACGAGGAAGAAGAGGAUGAAGAGGAGGAGGAAGGUUGCUAAAUACUCCUGAACCCAGUUACCCCUUCAUCACCUUGAGAUAAAUAAAUAAAUAAAAAUAU
Molecule: long non-coding RNA, 244 nt
Organism: Gymnodraco acuticeps
Lineage: Eukaryota; Metazoa; Chordata; Actinopteri; Perciformes; Bathydraconidae
Exons: 2
Source: RefSeq, a predicted model, not a curated record